Molecule: ribosomal RNA, 403 nt
Filed under: Fusobacteriota bacterium
Lineage: Bacteria; Fusobacteriati; Fusobacteriota
Description: Fusobacteria bacterium partial 16S ribosomal RNA
Rfam family: Bacterial small subunit ribosomal RNA
Source: RNAcentral
UGGGGAAUAUUACACAAUGGAGGGAACUCUGAUGCAGCGACGCCGCGUGAACGAAGAAGGCUUUCGAGUCGUAAAGUUCUUUUAUAUGGGAAGAUAAUGACGGUACCAUAAGAAAAAGCCCCGGCUAACUACGUGCCAGCAGCCGCGGUAAUACGUAGGGGGCUAGCGUUGUCCGGAAUCACUGGGCGUAAAGGGUUCGCAGGCGGAAAUGCAAGUCAGGUGUAAAAGGCAGUAGCUUAACUACUGUAAGCAUUUGAAACUGCAUAUCUUGAGAAGAGUAGAGGUAAGUGGAAUUUUUAGUGUAGCGGUGAAAUGCGUAGAUAUUAAAAAGAAUACCGGUGGCGAAGGCGACUUACUGGGCUCAUUCUGACGCUGAGGAACGAAAGCGUGGGUAGCAAACAGG